RNAcentral lists this ribosomal RNA (1318 nucleotides) under activated sludge metagenome. RNAcentral's name for it is "bacterial LSU rRNA". It matches the Rfam family "Bacterial large subunit ribosomal RNA", at positions 1103 to 2443 of the family's 2925-position model. The record is from RNAcentral.
UGCUUGGAAGCAGCAAUUCAUUUAAAGAGUGCGUAACAGCUCACUAGUCGAGUGACCGAGCGCGGAAAAUAAUCGGGCAUCAAACAUAGUGCCGAAGCUAUAGGAUACGUAAGUAUCGGUAGGGGAGCAUUCUGACCUGCAUCGAAGGCGAUUCGUAAGGAUCUCUGGAGCGGUCAGAAAAGAAAAUGUAGGCAUAAGUAACGAUAAAAAAAAUGAAAAAUUUUUUCGCCGUAAGUCUAAGGAUUCCUGAUCAACGCUAAUCGAAUCAGGGUUAGUCGGGUCCUAAGGUGUAACCCGAGAGGGGCAACCGAUGGAAAGCUGGUUAAUAUUCCAGCACCUGCUUAUAUUGCGAUGGGGUGACGAAGGUGUGAAAGUACCGCGGGGUUACGGAAUAUCCCGUUAAAGCGUGUAGAUAUUGAUAGAGUAGGCAAAUCCGCUCUUGAAUCGAACGUGAUAGUACUCAAGGUUUUCGAACUGAGAGAUAGUGUACCUAAUCAGACUUCCUAGAAAAACCUCUAAGCUUCAGGUAUAAGCAGCCCGUACCGUAAACCGACACAGGUAGACGAGGAGAGUAUCCUCAGGCGCUCGAGUGAGUCACGGCUAAGGAACUCGGCAAAAUGGACCCGUAACUUCGGGAGAAGGGUCGCCCCAGCAAUGGGGCCGCAGUGAAAAGUAUCAGGCGACUGUUUAACAAAAACACAGGGCUCUGCAAAAUCGAAAGAUGAAGUAUAGGGCCUGACACCUGCCCGGUGCUGGAAGGUUAAGGAAGGUUGUUAGCCGCAAGGCAAAGCUUCCGACUGAAGCCCCAGUAAACGGCGGCCGUAACUAUAACGGUCCUAAGGUAGCGAAAUUCCUUGUCGGGUAAGUUCCGACCUGCACGAAUGGUGUAACGAUCUGAUAACUGUCUCAGCCGUGAGCUCGGUGAAAUUGUAGUCCCGGUGAAGAUGCCGGGUACCCGUAACGGGACGGAAAGACCCCGUGAACCUUCACUACAACUUUGCAUUGACUUUGAGUAAACGAUGUGUAGCAUAGGUGGGAGACUUUGAAGCGGGCACGCUAGUGUUCGUGGAGUCAACGUUGAAAUACCACCCUUUGUUUACUUAGAGCCUAACUCCCAAAGGGAGGACAUUGCAUGGUGGGUAGUUUGACUGGGGUGGUCGCCUCCAAAAGAGUAACGGAGGCUUUCAAAGGUGCCCUCAGCACGCUUGGUAACCGUGCGCAGAGUGUAUUAGCAUAAGGGCGCUUGACUGUGAGACCGACGGGUCGAGCAGGUACGAAAGUAGGAUAAAGUGAUCCGGUGGUUCUGCAUGGAAGGGCC